Molecule: transfer RNA, 60 nt
Filed under: Proasellus jaloniacus
Lineage: Eukaryota; Metazoa; Arthropoda; Malacostraca; Isopoda; Asellidae
Description: transfert RNA-A(GCA)
Source: RNAcentral
AAAAUUAUAGUUUAUAUAAAACAUUUAAUUUGCAUUUAAAAAAAACUUAAGUUAAUUUUA